Molecule: long non-coding RNA, 1011 nt
Organism: Patella vulgata (common limpet)
Lineage: Eukaryota; Metazoa; Mollusca; Gastropoda; Patellidae
Exons: 3
Source: RefSeq, a predicted model, not a curated record
GCCACAUUCUUAUAUAAGAUAUCCAUUACGGAUGUUGGUGAACGUAUAAAGUAUUUCACUUGCGGUGAGUCUUUUCGAUAUAAAAUAUUUGCUUGGAUUUUGGAGAUAAGAAAUGAAUGUAGAAAUAAUCGGCAUAUCUUGCCUGGUAGCCUUACUAGUGGUCGGAUGUGUACAGGGACAAUCCUGUGACACGCAUUCCAACGGUUGCAGCGACCCUUUCAACAUGGCUUACAAACAACGUUUUAAACCGGCAUGUGAUAAACACGAUGUCUGCUAUUCAUGUGGAUUAGGACGCGGAGUUUCAAGAGCAAGAUGCGACCAAAUCUUCUACAAUAAUAUGAAGCUGUAUUGUUCUGUCCAGCCACGUUCGCAACGCCAGGCUUGCUAUACAAACGCACGUACAUAUUAUAUUGGUGUUAGCACACUUGGAAGCAGUAGCUAUUCAAAUCGUCCACACUAUUGGUGCUCACAAUCGUGGGUUCGGGGAUGUAUAUAAAUCGACUGAGAGAACUGUUAUUCCUAAUGCUUGAUAUCUAAUGUUUUUUACUGGUAUAUACUGAAGUUGCCUGCGCGUAUAAGCAUCGGAUCCAAUCUCAUUACAGCUUAGAAAGGAGGAUAAUAAGUAGGCGAACGGCAACAGGUGUUUACCGUUCGGUGAACUUAUGACUUACGAGGGGUCAACGCGAGCUUUUGGUAUAGAGUCAUUUUACAAGACCCUAAUCCUAUAUCGAAAACAGAUUAUGUCUACCAUGCAAACUGUAGUUUUAAAUCCAGGGAAUUCAAAAGAGCUCCAUAAAAAAACCCGAGCCUUAAACAUACGCAUCGAUCAGAUACGUUUAUUCUGGAAAUUGGGCCGUUAUGUCCAUAUAAUGGAGGUAAUCAAUUAACCGAACGGUAAAGCGGCCGUUUACCUACUUAUAGGCCGAUUUAUUUCGUUAUUAUUGUCCCCUUCUACGUGGUAAUAAUAUUGGAUUGGUUAAGAAUAUUAGAAAUAAAAAUAUUCUCUAAUUA